This is a long non-coding RNA of Bubalus bubalis (water buffalo), 5455 nucleotides long. RefSeq lists it as uncharacterized. The record is from RefSeq and is a predicted model, not a curated record. The transcript has 2 exons. NCBI's taxonomy places the organism in Eukaryota, Metazoa, Chordata, Mammalia, Artiodactyla, Bovidae.
CCGGUCGGUGGUACAGCCUGCUCCGCCACCGUCACGUGGGCGCCCCCUCUGUGACGUCGGCGUCUUCGCUGUAGCAAAGCUCGGCCUCUGGAAUUCUGAGAACUAAUUUGCUAUUCGGUGACAUAAGAGGGGGAGUGCGCUUUGCUUCCCCGGGGUCUGGGGCUCAUUUCUCCUCUCUUCCCCAUAAACUCAGCUCCUCCGAGCUCAAAACACAAAAGGAAGCGAGAGGUUGGAACCUUUGGGAAAAGUCUGUUAUAUAUAGUAGGUUUCGGGGCGAGUAAGAGAGAGAAAAAAAAAACAACAAUAAACACCACAGCUCUUUCCAGCUAGAAUAUUAGGCACCACGAGAAAAAUAUUUGCCAAGCAGUUUUCGGUGGGUUCAUUUGCUUUAUUUUUAUUUGGGACAGUUUGGGAUUUUUUUUUUCCUUUGUUGGUGUGGUGGUUUGGGACUUGGGGUGGUUGUAUUAUGAUGGUUUUCGGAUUUUUGCUUCUGAUUUUUGCCUUUUGCAACUUUGUGAUGUUACGUAAAUCGUAGGAUCCCGCAUCGGUUGGAUUUUGUUUUGUUUUACCCCUAUGAAAUCUCUCAAGCGGUAUAAGGAAGACGUGUUAUUUUAAUACUGAUAGUGUUGAAAGAAGCUUGAAUUUUUUGUCGUAUGUAAAUUCCAACCCCCACUUUUUUCAGGGGGGCGGGGAAGGGUGUUCAAUUUUCCUUUUCCCCUUGGACUUGUACUGAGAGGACGCUCUCCUGCACUUGAGAGACAUGUUCAAAGGAUUUGUUUUGGUUUGUUUCUUUCCAGGACAGCAAGUGGUGGGUUUACUCUGUUAUUGUUGACUCUUAGGACAAUUCUUGCUGCAAGAAACGUGUGUGUAUGUGUACGCGUACGCUUGUGUUCUACAAAAUUCUGUGAGCCAAAUACAUGUUUGUGUUCUGCUUUUUCUUUAGGUCUUGGUUCCCCCCGCUCCCUCCCAGCUCGUUUCAAGGUCGUUGUUAAAAAUCUCUCCUGUCUGUGUUUAAAGAGACCAGCCGGAGGGAAUUCUAAAGGCCUGCGGUGCCAGUAUCACAGAUACUGCGUGGAUUUAGAACAGACUGCUACAACUACAACGCGCUUCACGCAGCACAGCCCUCUUAGUUUUAGAGCUGAGUUAGGAGGAGGAGGAAAAGGGGGGAAAUCUUUCUUUCUUCCUUCCUUUCUUUUUAAAGGCAAAUGCAGUGCAGAAUCAUUUCACUGUGGGCCUUGGUUUGUUUAUUCAGAACUGCCAGUUUCCCUAUUUAAAUGUUGGUUGGGGUUUUUUCCCCUCCUACUCAUCCCUGAAUGAGGGAGACUCUUGUUUCUUUUAUGUCUCUCUCUUAAAAGAAGGGUGUGAGGGGAAAAUAAUAUUUCAGAUUCCUCAAGUAUUAACCCAAAAUGUUUGGACCAGAAGCAGCUUUCAAAGGUCAGGCUGUUCUGAGCCUUGGCUAUGAAAGUCCUUCAGGCGGACUCAUUAAAUUACAGACGAGUUCUUAAAGGUUCCACAAAAUUUCUGCACAUGUUAAUUUCCAAUAAAGAUAUCUCCCCCAAUAAUCUACCUCUCCAAAUUUGGGUUUAUAGUGGAGAAGUGAGCAGAGAGAUUACUGGCUGUUUCCUGGGAUAUGUGGGGAUCUCUUUCCCAGAAGUCUGUAAGAAGUUCAGAUCUGUUGCUGAAAAUAUCAGCGCAGCCCCCCUUUUGAAAAGGCCGUGUUGGAGUGUUUAGAACCAGGAGAGAUCCAAAGGGGUCGAUUAUUUUCCACAAGGGCUGGAGCUUAGGAAAAAUGCCUAAAGUGUGUCUGUCCCUUUGAAAUCUGAAUAUUUUAAUACUUAUUGACAGAUGGAUUACUGCAGCUUCUGCAGAAAAGCCUGUCUUGUGAAGGAUUUUUGAAAAAUAUACAUAGGCCUAAUCCUGUCACCCUUGUGGAAAUGAACAUUUUACCCCCGAAGACACAUGUUAUCGUUAAAUGCAGAUUCAUUUUGCCAGAAGGCAGACUGUUUUUUUAAAUUGUCCCCUUCCUCCUGAUUUCGAAAGAGUUUUAAAGGAAUCCCAUCGGAUUCUAAAUGACACCCGAUUUUGCUGAAGCGAUCGUCUUUGUGUAUUUCUAUGGGUGAUAAUUUUUGUAUUUUUUAUGAGUAUGUUCCUCAGGUGUAUCUGUGUGGUUUGGAAUGUGAAUUGUGUGGUUCUGCCCUGCUACUGAUUCUGCAAUGUGAUAACUUUUGUGAUGUGGAGUCCCUUUUCUUGUCAAAGUUGACAUCCAGCCUCACUGGGUCCUCCCCACCACCACUUUAAACACACUGCUUGUCCCUCUCGCGUUCUCUUUGCCAUUCCAAUCUUAGCCCCGUGGGGGCGCUGCAGAGCAAAGGGAAAUCGGCUCUCUCUAGCAGUAGAACCAACCAGAGUGGGGGCUGGGAAUGAAUUCACCCUUCUAGUACCUCAGCCCUCUAAUUCUCUGCCAGAAGUCUGUAAAGGAAGACCCCACUAGGCCUGGUUUAUAGAUAAUUAAUCCCAUCACCAGGGUCCUCAGACCCUUUCUGGGGCCAAAUGCCAGAGUCCCACAUUUCUAAUACUCCCCCAGCCCCCAAAUUGAAAGAAAUUAACCAGGAAAUGUUAAAAGAAAAAAAAUUAUUGAAAAUAUUUUAAAGGUAAGGAUUUACAUUUUUGUAGGUCCCCUUCUCUUUUCCAGAUGAAUGGUGAGGAAAAUUGUGUGCCCACCUCUCAAUCUCUUUUCAAUUAUUAGGAAAGUAACUUUAUCAAAUUUUUUAUACCCAUCGAAUUUCUUCCAUAAUGUCCUGCCUUCUCUCAUUUCUUGAUUUCUCCCCAUUAGUAACCAGUUGGCAUCACUCUGUGAACCUCCCUCACCCCAGCACUGAUAGGAUUAAAGAAAGGAUUGACUUGAAUAUAUUCAAAUUCUUUCAAAUCAUCCAUAAGAAGCCCUGAAGAGAGAUUUCAUGUCUGGGGUCUUAUGUGUGAUUCUUGUGAACUUGGAGGGUUAUGUAUCAAACCAGUCCUAUGAUUUAAUGGCUUCUGGCUAUUAAUGCUCAGAGUAGAGGAUCCAGUCAGUCUGUUUGCCUGGUGGUUUGGGCAUGGUAAUAGGUUCUUAAUCACAGGUUCUGGAUGAAUAUAAGCUUUGUUGCAAAAUAAAAUAGCUUGGUCUUAAUAUUACAUCUGUUUAAGGAAAGGAACAGAUUUUGCAUCCAGUUCCCUCACAAACUUCCCCACAAUACAGCCACAGCUGAAAAGGAACUAUCCUUGGAGUAAACACUGUCUUGUCCUCUUUCUAAGGGGACUCACAAGAGGAAAUUGGUUUCACCUGUCAGGAAUUUCUGGCACCUUGGUAGAUCUUGAAACUGUCACAUAAGAGAAUUAUAGAUUUUAGGACUGGAAGGAACUUUGCAGAUCAAUCAACUCCUCGAGGCUUCCUUCUUUCAAGAGGACAGGAGGGGCAUCCCUGGAGGCCUGCGGGACCCCGAGACACAACUGAGAACAGGUCUUUGUGGUUCUCUGGUCCUGUGUUAGAGAAUCAGGAAGAUCUGACUGCCUGGGCUUUGAGGUGGGUGUCUCGUUUUCUGACAGAAUUGAGGAAAGCGAGGCUGCUUUGGGCUCUGUGUGAAUUGUAAACUGGUUCUCAGAACAAACUCCAGGUCACAAUGAGUAUUGAGUUUUGAUGGUCAUUUGGACUUGGUGGUGCCUGUCACCUAUACUGUGGUACUCAACAACUACUUUUGAUGGGUAUGGGAGAUUUUAUGUACCCAUUCAUUUUAUUUCAAAUCCUUCAUUUAGAGCUAUUGUAAACAAGCCCCUUAUAUUAUCCUCGGAGAGAAAAAAGCAUUUUGUUGGUAUGAUUUAGAGAAAUUGAGCAGAAAGUUUUGAGACUUUUUUUUAAAAGAUGAUUUCCAAUCACUACCUUCAGAAACAAGAAGUGUCAACGUUUAAUUUUGAUCCAUAUGCUGCCUGCUUUCAGCCUGUAUUAUUCUGAGACUUUUUUUUUCUUUAGAAACCUUUUCAGCCUAGCUCAGAGUUUACCCCAAAAACACUGAUUUUUUCCAUACUUUUCUCACUAAUUUAAAAUGGAAAUAAAUAUCAGGAGCUUAAAAUAGAGAAGUGAUUGGGGGUGCAGAAUCAUUUGUUUAUUGCAUUCAAUCACUGUUUUGAAUAACAGGGUUUUCACUUCCUUUGAAACCUUAGCAUGAGGGAAAGCAACAGCUGGACCAGGAGGGGGUUGGAGGGAGGAAGGCACUGGAGUGUUUGUAAACUCAGGGUGGCUGGCCCACCCUGCCACUGGCUGCCGGUUGCAGUACUUAGCUGUCUUUACUACCUAAGGCUAGAAGUGGAGAAACUUGAUUUGCGUGUUGUGCCUGCAUGUUUUUUUUUUUUUUUUCUUCUCCACACCGCCCUCUGCACACCUGACCAUGCCAAAGCCUAUUUGAAGCCGGCCUGAUGGCAGGGAGAGCUGGAGAACAGAAGAAUGUGCGGAGGGGGAGGGAGGGAGUACUCGGUACUUUUCCAUUCACAUCUCCACAGUGGCUUUUCUUGUUUAUUUCAGCCUCCACCCGCAGAACCCUUUGAGCUGCCUGAAAUCCGAGUCAUUAAACUGUUCCCUGAGGUCAGACCACAGAUGCCCGGUGCAUGUUUCCUCCAUGUCAAUGUCUAUGUAACACAUGUACAUACAGAGACACAUGCAAAAAACUGUGUAACUCUGCUGGGGCACAGUGUGAGGUAGGGGAAGAAACAAAACAAAACUGGAUUUGUUGCCAGAAGACCUUGGUGUCUAAUUACAGUUCUGCCGGGAACUCCUUAUCUGAUGUGGAACAAAACCACUUGUCAGGACUCAGUCUCCUUAACUGUGUGAAGGCAGAUUCUUCACCAGCUGAGCCACCAGGGAAGCCAAAGAAUACUGGAAUGCAUAGCCUAUCCCUUCCGCGGUGGAUCUUCCCAAUGCAGGAGUUGAACCGGGGUCUCCUGCAUUGCAGGUGGAUUCUUUACCAGCUGAGCUACCAGGGAAGCCCUCUGUCCUCAGCAAUUGUCUGAUCCCACACAACUGAUUUUGUAUCUUUGGAAACUGAGGCCCACACAGAAUGUAUUUGUCGCGCACACUGGACCAGGCUGAGUCAGAUCCAGAACUUUGAUGUCCUGGUUCUAAAUCCACUGUGUUUUUCCAUAGCUUAUCAUUAGAAGAGGAUAUGGGGUGGGCAGAGCUGCCAAAGAGCCAUUUUCUGUGGCCUUACAUUUUCUGUGACCUUCAGAGAAGUCCCCACUUUUGGACUCCUGAGAUGAUCUCCACUGAGGUUCUACAUCAGUCUUAACAGUACAAUGACAGUAUGGAAAGGAGCAGACUGUCAUUCACAAGUUCUGCAUGUUGGUCCCAGUGUAGGACACCGUAUAGGAGUCCUCACAGGUUCCUAUGGUACUGUGACUUAUCACUGUUAAUAAACCUAUAAUUAUCUUA